UAUAUGUAAGUAUAAGUAAGUCGCUCUGGAUAAGAGCGUCUGCUAAAUGACUUAAA
This is a non-coding RNA of Salmo salar (Atlantic salmon), 56 nucleotides long. Lineage: Eukaryota; Metazoa; Chordata; Actinopteri; Salmoniformes; Salmonidae. The record is from Rfam.